This 327-nucleotide ribosomal RNA is filed under the name uncultured Endozoicomonas sp. RNAcentral's name for it is "bacterial SSU rRNA". It matches the Rfam family "Bacterial small subunit ribosomal RNA", at positions 14 to 339 of the family's 1533-position model. The record is from RNAcentral. Lineage: Bacteria; Pseudomonadati; Pseudomonadota; Gammaproteobacteria; Oceanospirillales; Endozoicomonadaceae.
UGAUCAUGGCUCAGAUUGAACGCUGGCGGCAGGCCUAACACAUGCAAGUCGAGCGGUAGCGGGAAGAGCUUGCUCUUUGCCGACGAGCGGCGGACGGGUGCGUAACACGUAGGAAUCUGCCCGGUAGUGGGGGAUAGCCCGGAGAAAUCCGGAUUAAUACCGCAUACGCCCUAAGGGGGAAAGCAGGGGAUCUUCGGACCUUGCGCUAUCGGAUGAGCCUGCGUCGGAUUAGCUUGUUGGUGGGGUAAAGGCCUACCAAGGCGACGAUCCGUAGCUGGUCUGAGAGGAUGAUCAGCCACACUGGGACUGAGACACGGCCCAGACUCC